This 253-nucleotide ribosomal RNA is filed under the name uncultured bacterium. RNAcentral describes it as "partial 16S ribosomal RNA". It matches the Rfam family "Bacterial small subunit ribosomal RNA", at positions 524 to 776 of the family's 1533-position model. The record is from RNAcentral.
UACAGGGGGUGCAAACGUUGCUCGGAAUCAUUGGGCGUAAAGCGCACGUAGGCGGUUUGUUAUGUCGGAUGUGAAAGCCCUUGGCUCAACUGAGGAAGUGCAUCCGAAACUGGCAAGCUAGAGUACUAAAGAGGGCCGCGGAAUUCCCGGUGUAGAGGUGAAAUUCGUAGAUAUCGGGAGGAACACCGGUGGCGAAGGCGGCGACCUGGGUAGAUACUGACGCUGAGGUGCGAAAGCGUGGGGAGCAAACAGG